This 287-nucleotide ribosomal RNA is filed under the name Pseudomonas protegens. RNAcentral describes it as "partial 16S ribosomal RNA". It matches the Rfam family "Bacterial small subunit ribosomal RNA", at positions 1086 to 1372 of the family's 1533-position model. The record is from RNAcentral. Lineage: Bacteria; Pseudomonadati; Pseudomonadota; Gammaproteobacteria; Pseudomonadales; Pseudomonadaceae.
CCCGUAACGAGCGCAACCCUUGUCCUUAGUUACCAGCACGUUAUGGUGGGCACUCUAAGGAGACUGCCGGUGACAAACCGGAGGAAGGUGGGGAUGACGUCAAGUCAUCAUGGCCCUUACGGCCUGGGCUACACACGUGCUACAAUGGUCGGUACAAAGGGUUGCCAAGCCGCGAGGUGGAGCUAAUCCCAUAAAACCGAUCGUAGUCCGGAUCGCAGUCUGCAACUCGACUGCGUGAAGUCGGAAUCGCUAGUAAUCGCGAAUCAGAAUGUCGCGGUGAAUACGUU